AUUGAACGCUGGCGGCAGGCCUAACACAUGCCAGUCGAGCGGAGCGGCGGACGGGUGAGUAAUGCCUAGGAAUCUGCCUGGUAGUGGGGGAUAACGUCCGUAACCGGGCGCUCAUACCGCCUACUAUCAGAUUAGCCUAGGUCGUAUUAGCUAUUUGGUGGGGUAAAGGCAUACCAAGGCGACGCUCCGUAACUGUUCUGAGAGGCUGAUCAGUCACAGUGGAACUGAGACACGGUCCAGAAUCCUACGGGAGGCAGCAGUGGGGAAUAUUGGACAAUGGGAGAAAGCCUGACCCAGCAAUGCCGCGUGUGUGAAGAAGGUCUUCGGAUUGUAAAGCACUUUAAGUUGGGAGGCGUUACCAACAGAAUAAGCACCGGCUAACUUCGUGCCAGCAGCCGCGGUAAGAC
RNAcentral lists this ribosomal RNA (407 nucleotides) under uncultured bacterium. RNAcentral describes it as "partial 16S ribosomal RNA". It matches the Rfam family "Bacterial small subunit ribosomal RNA", at positions 30 to 526 of the family's 1533-position model. The record is from RNAcentral.